Molecule: ribosomal RNA, 255 nt
Filed under: uncultured bacterium
Lineage: Bacteria
Description: partial 16S ribosomal RNA
Rfam family: Bacterial small subunit ribosomal RNA
Source: RNAcentral
UACGGAGGGUGCAAGCGUUGUUCGGAUUUAUUGGGCGUAAAGCGCGUGUAGGCGGUCUUCUAAGUCUGAUGUGAAAGCCCUGGGCUCAACCCAGGAAGUGCAUUGGAUACUGGACGACUUGAAUACGGGAGAGGGUAGUGGAAUUCCUAGUGUAGGAGUGAAAUCCGUAGAUAUUAGGAGGAACACCGGUGGCGAAGGCGGCUACCUGGACCGAUAUUGACACUGAGACGGACGAAAGCGUGGGGAGCAAACAGG